GGUCAUGAGUGUCAGCGACAUGCAGCCCCGGCUCGCUGACCGGCAACCCUCCUACCGCGGUGGGGUGCCCCGGGUGAAGACCUGGCGCCGCGCACUCGCGCGUCGCAAGCGCGGGCC
Molecule: non-coding RNA, 117 nt
Organism: Tersicoccus sp. Bi-70
Lineage: Bacteria; Bacillati; Actinomycetota; Actinomycetes; Micrococcales; Micrococcaceae
Source: Rfam